UCGUUACUGUUUUCUGCGCCAGGGCCAGUGCUAGGCGCUUCCUUAUAGGAUUGAAUAAGAGAUUUAUCUUAUUUCGUCCGGAACAAGGUUAUUUCGAUCCUACACGGUCUUAACUUGUAUAAAAGAGGUUCUAAACCUAUUUUGAAGGGGAGGAACGCUUUUCAGGGUAUCUUUUGACGAAGGAAGAGCAUAGAGCCGCUAUGGAGAUCGGG
RNAcentral lists this long non-coding RNA (212 nucleotides) under Nicotiana benthamiana. RNAcentral's name for it is "long non-coding RNA (NBEN_LNC008559)". Lineage: Eukaryota; Viridiplantae; Streptophyta; Magnoliopsida; Solanales; Solanaceae. The record is from RNAcentral.